UACGGGGGGGGUAAGCGUUGUUCGGAAUUACUGGGCGUAAAGGGCUCGUAGGCGGCCAACUAAGUCAGACGUGAAAUCCCUCAGCUUAACUGGGGAACUGCGUCUGAUACUGGAUGGCUUGGAUUUGGGAGAGGGAUGCGGAAUUCCAGGUGUAGCGGUGAAAUGCGUAGAUAUUGGGAGGAACACCAGUGGCGAAGGCGGCUCACUGGACCGGUACUGACGCUGAUGCGCGAAAGCGUGGGGAGCAAACGGG
This 253-nucleotide ribosomal RNA is filed under the name uncultured bacterium. RNAcentral describes it as "partial 16S ribosomal RNA". It matches the Rfam family "Bacterial small subunit ribosomal RNA", at positions 524 to 776 of the family's 1533-position model. The record is from RNAcentral.